Molecule: ribosomal RNA, 489 nt
Filed under: uncultured Actinomycetales bacterium
Lineage: Bacteria; Bacillati; Actinomycetota; Actinomycetes; Actinomycetales
Description: bacterial SSU rRNA
Rfam family: Bacterial small subunit ribosomal RNA
Source: RNAcentral
AGAGUUUCGAUCCUCGGCUCAGGACGAACGCUGGCGGCGUGCUUACACAUGCAAGUCGAACGGUGAUGCUGGAGCUUGCUCCAGCUGAUCAGUGGCGAACGGGUGAGUAACACGUGAGCAACCUGCCCUUGACUCUGGGAUAACCCCGGGAAACCGGAGCUAAUACCGGAUACGAACCGCACAGGCAUCUGCGCGGUUGGAAAGAUUUAUCGGUCAAGGAUGGGCUCGCGGCCUAUCAGCUUGUUGUGGGGGUAAUGGCCCACCAAGGCGACGACGGGUAGCCGGCCUGAGAGGGCGACCGGCCACACUGGGACUGAGACACGGCCCAGACUCCUACGGGAGGCAGCAGUGGGGAAUAUUGCACAAUGGGCGAAAGCCUGAUGCAGCGACGCCGCGUGAGGGACGAAGGCCUUCGGGUUGUAAACCUCUUUCAGCAGGGAAGAAGCGAAAGUGACGGUACCUGCAGAAGAAGCACCGGCUAACUACGUG